UUUCCGUAGGUGAACCUGCGGAAGGAUCAUUACAGAGAUCAUGCCCGAAAGGGUAGACCUCCCACCCUUGUGUAUUAUUACUGUGUUGCUUUUGCGAUCGCAAGCUCGCCAGAGAAUACCAAAACUCUUUUUAUUAAUGUCUUCUGAGUACUAUAUAAUAGUUAAAACUUUUAACAACGGAUCUCUUGGUUCUG
RNAcentral lists this unclassified non-coding RNA (194 nucleotides) under plant metagenome. RNAcentral describes it as "partial contains small subunit ribosomal RNA, internal transcribed spacer 1, and 5.8S ribosomal RNA". The record is from RNAcentral.